Non-coding RNA from Saimiri boliviensis boliviensis (Bolivian squirrel monkey), 786 nucleotides. NCBI's taxonomy places the organism in Eukaryota, Metazoa, Chordata, Mammalia, Primates, Cebidae. The record is from RefSeq and is a predicted model, not a curated record.
GUUGAACUAAUUUACACUCCCACCAACAAAUGUUUCAGAAUCACCUGGGAUGAUCUGAAUGAAGAUUUGUGGCCUCUACCAAAGACUGAAGCAGAAAGGGAGCAAGAAGAUGAGGAAUGCUUAAGAAACUGCAUUCACAAACUCUACAUCUGAAUUUUACAACAUACAGAAGCAUGGGAACUACUGCCUCAGUGUUAACAGGGCUGAGAAUAUCAUGUGGUUCAGUCUUCUGACGAGAGCUAUAUAAUAAAAUCAUAGUGCCUUUGAACAUGAAGAUUAUCCUCAAGGCCAGAAGUCCUACAAAGGAACUGAAAGGUAGGAGAGAUUCCAGAGAUUUGCUGUCCUCAUUUUUAACAUGUAAAGUGACUGUUUUAAGUCACUUCAUUGAAGACUUAGUAAAGAAAACAGUGUUGUUAUGCCACUAAUAAAGCUACUUAAACCACAAUAAUUUUGGGAUAUUAAUCCUAGACUACAUAAUUAAUGGAUCAUCAAAAAAAGAACCUGUCAGUUAUUAAGCGUAAGUAAGUUAACUUCCUAUGCCAAGUAAGGGUCACACUUCACUUCCUCCAUUUGUAAAAAGAAAAGGUGGCCAGGCCAGUGCCAUUCAGGAUUCUCUGCUAACUGUAAAAUGUGGACUGACUUUCUUCUUUUUCUUGUAGUCCAGAUGUAUAUAAACUUCCAGUUCUUUAAAUCAAAAAUUUUUAUGCAUAUAACCAUGUCAGUGUAUUGCCCUUAGUUUAAAAAUGUACAACUACAUAAAUAAAAACUAUUGUUUCUUCAGUAUUA